GACGAACGCUGGCGGCAUGCCUAAUACAUGCAAGUCGAGCGAACAGAUGAAGUGCUUGCACUUCUGACGUUAGCGGCGAACGGGUGAGUAACACGUAAGGAAUCUACCUAUAAGCGGGGAUAACAUUCGGAAACGGGUGCUAAUACCGCAUAAUAUCUUCUUCCGCAUGGAAGAAGAUUGAAAGACGGCUCUGCUGUCACUUAUAGAUGAACUUGCGGUGCAUUGGUUAGUUGGUGGGGUAACGGCCUACCAAGACGAUGAUGCAUAGCCGACCUGAGAGGGUGAUCGGCACCAUUGGGACUGAGACACGGCCCAAACUCCUACGGGAGGCAGCAGUAGGGAAUCUUCCGCAAUGGGCGAAAGCCUGACGGAGCAAUGCCGCGUGAGUGAAGAAGGCCUUCGGGUCGUAAAACUCUGUUAUAAGAGAAGAACAAAUUGUAGAGUAACUGCUACAGUCUUGACGGUAUCUUAUCAGAAAGCCACGGCUAACUACGUGCCAGCCGCCGCAGUAA
This 512-nucleotide ribosomal RNA is filed under the name uncultured bacterium. Its description in RNAcentral is "partial 16S ribosomal RNA". It matches the Rfam family "Bacterial small subunit ribosomal RNA", at positions 28 to 523 of the family's 1533-position model. The record is from RNAcentral.